RNAcentral lists this ribosomal RNA (253 nucleotides) under uncultured bacterium. Its description in RNAcentral is "partial 16S ribosomal RNA". It matches the Rfam family "Bacterial small subunit ribosomal RNA", at positions 524 to 776 of the family's 1533-position model. The record is from RNAcentral.
UACAGAGAGUGCGAGCGUUAAUCGGAAUUACUGGGCGUAAAGCGCACGUAGGUGGAUAUUUAAGUCGGAUGUGAAAUCCCUGAGCUUAACUUAGGAAUUGCAUUCGAUACUGGGUGUCUAGAAUAUGGUAGAGGGAAGUGGAAUUUCUGGUGUAGCGGUGAAAUGCGUAGAUAUCAGAAGGAACAUCAGUGGCGAAAGCGGCUUCCUGGACCAAUAUUGACACUUAGGUGCGAAAGCGUGGGGAGCAAACAGG